This is an RNA transcript of Callithrix jacchus (white-tufted-ear marmoset), 1541 nucleotides long. It is a transcript of the gene named vesicle-associated membrane protein-associated protein A pseudogene, with no coding region annotated. The record is from RefSeq and is a predicted model, not a curated record. Lineage: Eukaryota; Metazoa; Chordata; Mammalia; Primates; Cebidae.
GCGCGUGGCCACGGCGGCUGGUGUGGGGUUGAGUCAGUUGUGAGACCCGGAGCUGCUGACCCAGCGGGUGGCCCACCGUACCCGCGACACGGCGGCAGGCGGCAGGGCUCGGAAGCGGCGAGCCUGGCCCCGUCCUAGAGCUUGGCCGAGCGGGCACCACCGUCGUUCCCCGCCCCCAGCCAGCAGACUGUCGCCGAGGGCGCGCCCUCGCUCUGCUCCGAUGGCGUCCGCCUCCGCGAAGCACUAGCAGAUCUCGGUCCUCGACCCGCCCACUGACCUCAAAUUCAAAGGCCCCUUCACAGAUGUAGUCACUACAAAUCUUAAAUUGCGAAAUCCAUAGGAUAGAAAAGUGUGUUUCAAAGUGAAGACUACAGCACUACGCCGGUACUGUGAGACCCAACAGUGGAAUUAUUGACCCAGGGUCAAUAGCCCUUUGACUAUGAUCCAAAUGAAAAAAGUAAACCCAAGUUUAUGGUACAGACCAUUUUUGCUCCACCAAACACUUCAGAUAUGGAAGCUGUGUGGAAAGAGGCAAAACCUGAUGAAUUAAUGGAUUCCAAAUUGAGAUGUGUAUUUGAAAUGCCGAAUGAAAAUGAUAAAUUGAAUGACAUGAAACCUAGCAAAGCUGUUCCACUGAAUGCGUCUAAAUAAGAUGGACCUAUGCCAAAACCACAGUGUUUCACUUAAUGAUGCUGAAACAAGGAAACUAAUGGAAGAGUGUAAAAGACUUCAGGGAGAAAUGAUGAAGCUAGCAGAAGAAAAUCGACACCUGAGAGAUGAAGGUUUAAGGCUCGGAAAGGUAGCACAUUCGGAUAAACCUGGAUCAACCUCAACAUCCUUCAGAGAUAAUGUCACCAGUCCUCUUCCAUCACUUCUUGUUGUAAUUGCAGCCAUUUUCAUUGGAUUCUUUCUAGGGAAAUUCAUCUUGUAGAGUGAAGCAUGCAGAGUGCUAUUUCUUUUUUUUUUUUUUUUUCUCUUGACCAGAAAAAGAUUUGUUUACUUACCAUUUCAUUGGUAGUAUGGCCCGCGGUGACCAUUUUUUUGUGUACAGCAUCAUAUAGGCUUUGCCGUUAAUGAUCUCUUACGGUUAGAAAACACAAUAAAAACGAACUGUUGGGCUACUGGACAAAUUGUAUAUUACCAGAUCAUCACUAGCAGAUGUCACUUGCACAUUCAGUCCUUUAUGAAAUUCAUAAAGAAUUGUUCUUUCUUUGUGGUUUUAAUGAGUUCAAGAAUUGUUCAGUCUUGUAAAUGUUAUUUUAAUAAUACCUUUAAAUUUUAUCUGUUGCUGUUACCUCUUGAAAUAUGAUUUAUUUAGAUUGCUAAUCCCACUCAUUCAGGAAAUGCCAAGAGGUAUUCCGUGGGGAAACGGUGCCUCUUACAGUGUAAAUUUUUUCCUCCUUUACCUUUGCUAAUAUCACGGCAGAAUUUUUCUUACCCCUUGUGAGGCAGUUGUUGACUGAGUUUUUCAUCCUUACAAUCCUGUUCCAUGGUAUUUAACAUAAAAAAUAAUAAAACUGUUAACAGAUUCUUGCUUGAUA